Molecule: transfer RNA, 57 nt
Filed under: Ovis aries (sheep)
Lineage: Eukaryota; Metazoa; Chordata; Mammalia; Artiodactyla; Bovidae
Rfam family: tRNA
About the family: Transfer RNA (tRNA) molecules are approximately 80 nucleotides in length.
Source: Rfam by way of RNAcentral
UAGCUCAGUUGGUAAAGAAUCUGCCUGUAAUGCAGGAGAUCCUGGUUCGAUUCCUGG